Molecule: long non-coding RNA, 4575 nt
Filed under: Equus caballus (horse)
Lineage: Eukaryota; Metazoa; Chordata; Mammalia; Perissodactyla; Equidae
Description: lncRNA (ENSECAG00000059070.1)
Source: RNAcentral
CAAAGGCCUGUGAAACGCAGUUUCUUUAGGCCUGAUCUGGCUGAAGUAGGACUUCUGCUCUGGGUGUGCUACAUUGCCCUAGAGCUGAAAGGCACAACGUGCAGGCUUCUUUCCAAAGGGCGAGUUGGGCCCCACAGCAUCUUGCUUCCAGCUCUUUGGGAAGCUAAGAAACAACUCGCUCUGCACAGUGCUCUUACAGCCUACAGGGAGCAUCUCUUCCAAAGGCCUGUGAAACGCAGUUUCUUUGCAGGCCUGAUCUGGCUGAAGUAGGACUUCUGCUCUGGGUGUGCUACAUUGCCCUAGAGCUGAAAGGCACAACGUGCAGGCUUCUUUCCAAAGGGCGAGUUGGGCCCCACAGCAUCUUGCUUCCAGCUCUUUGGGAAGCUAAGAAACAACUCGGUCUGCACAGUGCUCUUACAGCCUACCGGGAACAUCUCUUCCAAAGGCCUGUGAAACGCAGUUUCUUUGCAGGCCUGAUCUGGCUGAAGUAGGACUUCUGCUCUGGGUGUGCUACAUUGCCCUAGAGCUGAAAGGCACAACGUGCAGGCUUCUUUCCAAAGAGCGAGUUGGGCCCCACAGCAUCUUGCUUCCAGCUCUUUGGGAAUCUAAGAAACAACUCGCUCUGCACUGUUGUUUUACACCCUACCGGGAACAUGUCUUACAAAGGCCUGUGAAACGCAGUUUCUUGCCAGGCCUGAUCUCGCUGAAGUAGAACUUCUGCUCUGCCAUGUCCUAUAUGGGCCGAGAGCUGCAAGGAACAAAGCCAUGCCUUUUUCUCUCACUUGCAGACAAGUCCCUCAGCCUCAAGCUUCCAGCUCUUUGGCAGCUAAGAAACAACUAGCUCUGCAUAGGGCUCUUUCAGCCUAGCGGGAACAUGUCUUACAAAGGCCUGUGUAACGCAGUUUCUUCCCAGGCCUUAUCUCGCUGAAGUAGAACUUCUGCUCUGCCUUGUCCUACAUGGGCCUAGAGCUGCAAGGCCCAAAGUCCUGCCUUGUGUUCUCAAGGGCAGACAGGCCACACACUGUGGGGCUUCCAGCUCUUUGGGCACCUAAGAAGCAACUCGCUCUGCACUGGUGUUUUCCACCCUACCGGGAACAUGUCUUACAAAGGCCUGUGAAACGCAGUUUCUUCCCUGGCCUGAUCACGCUGAAGUAGAACUUCUGCUCUGCUGUGUCCUCCAAGGGCCUAGAGCUGCAAGGAACAAAGUCCUGCCUUGUCUUCUCAAGGGCAGACAGACCACACAGUGUGGGGCUUCCAGCUCUUUGGGUACCUAAGAAACAACUCGCUCUGCAUAGGGCUCUUUCAUCCUACCGGGAACAUGUGUUACAAAGGCCUGUGAAACGCAGUUUCUUCCCAUGCCUGAUCUGGCUGAAGUAGAACUUCUGCUCUGCCGUGUCCUAUAUGGCCCUAGAGCUGUAAGGAACAAAGUCCUGCCUUGUGUUCUCAAGGGCAGACAGGCCACACAGUCUGUGGCUUCCAGCUCUUUGGGAAGCUAAGAAACAACUCGCUCUGCACUGUUGUUUUACACCCUACCGGCAACAUGUCUUACAAAAGCCUCUGAAACACACUUUCCUGCCAGGCCUGAUCUGGCUGAAGUAGAACUUCUGCUCUGCUGUGUCCUAUAUGGGCCUAGAGAUGCAAGGAACAAUGUCCUGCCUUUUUCUCUCAAUUGCAGACAACUCCCUCAGACUCAAGCUUCCAGCUCUUUGGGCAGCUAAGAAACAACUAGCUCUGCAUAGGGCUCUUUCAGCCUAGCGGGAACAUGUCUUACAAAGGCCUGUGUAAUGCAGUUUCUUCCCAGGCCUUAUCUCGCUGAAUUAGAAUUUCUGCUCUGCCUUGUCCUACAUGGGCCUAGAGCUGCAAGGCCCAAAGUCCUGCCUUGUGUUCUCAAGGUCAGACAGGCAGCACAGUGUGGGGCUUCCAGCUCUUUGGGCGGCUAAGAAACAGCUCGCUCUGCACUGCUGUUUUACAGCCUACCGGGUACAUGUCUUACAAAGGCUUGUGAAAGGCAGUUUCUUCUCAGGCCUGAUCUCGCUGAAGUAGAACUUCUGCUCUGCCGUGUCCUACAUGGGCCUAGAGCUGAAAGGCCCAAAGUCCUGCCUUGUGUUCACAAGGGCAGACAGGCCCCACAGUGUGGGGCUUCCAGCUCUUUGGGAAUCUAAGAAACAACUCGCUCUGCACUGUUGUUUUACACCCUACCGGGAACAUGUCUUACAAAGGCCUGUGAAACGCAGUUUCUUCCCAGGCCUGAUCUCGCUGAAGUAGAACUUCUGCUCUGCCGUGUCCUACAUGGGCCUAGAGCUGCAAGGCUCAACGUCCUGCCUUGUUUCCACAAGGGGAGAGAACUCCCUCAGCGUCCAGCUUCCAGCUCUUUGGGCAGCUAAGAAACAACUAGCUCUGCAUAGGGCUCUUUUAGCCUACCGGGAACAUGUCUUACAAAGGCCUGUGAAACGCAGUUUCUUCCCAGGCCUGAUCUGGCUGAAGUAGAACUUCUGCUCUGGGUGUGCUCCAUUGGCCUAGAGUUGCCUGGCCCAAAGCUCUGCCUUGUUUGCAAAGGGGCAGAGAGGCCCCAAAGCAUCUUGCUUCCAGCUCUUUGGGAAGCUAAGAAACAACUCGCUCUGCACAGUGCUCUUACAGCCUACCGGGAACAUCUCUUGCAAUGGCCUGUGAAAUGCAGUUUCUUGGCAGGCCUGAUCUGGCUGAUGUCGAUCUUCUGCUGUGCCGUGUGCUACAUUGCCCUAGAGCUCCAAGGCACAAAGUCCUGCCUUGUUUGCUCAUGGGGAGAUAGGCCCCAAAGCAUCUUGCUUCCAGCUCUUUGGGAUUCUAAGAAACAACUCACUCUCCACAGUGCUCUUACAGCCUACCAGGAACAUCUCCUACAAAGGCCUGUGAAACGCAGUUUCUUUCCAGCCCUGAUCUUGCUGCGUUAAAACUUUUGCUCUGAGCCGCGUCUUGGCAGAUAUUCGAGGAGUCUUAUUUACUCUCCUUAUGGAUGAGGAAAAGUCAGCUGUUCUAUUAAAUGCUAGAGAAGAAGCAUAUUAUGAAUAUGACCCAAUAUCAGCCAUUGGCAGACUUAGUGAACAGCCUCUGCCAGAGACCGAUGCUGUGUGAAUCCCAGUGAUCCUGAUGAUCAUGAAGAGGAAGACAAGAAGAUGAAAAAGCAAGCCACCCUGUUUUGUGUGGCCCUUCAAGUCUGUUCAAGGUAACCUGAGGAAGAGAAGGAGUGAGUGACCUCAGCCUCCAACCAGUGACCAGAAAGCCACCAACAAAUUUUGGUGUGUGUACUGCAAACUGGAAGGGCAUUGGCAGCAGGACUGUCCCAACCAUCGCCUGAGAGUUAAGAGAUUGAACAGGGUCAAGCCACGGCAUCUUCUCUUGACCACGGAUGAGAUGUGACAGGGCCAUGUGGCUCCCCAGUUGGCUCUAGGGGUGACCUUGGCAGUAGGAGGAGAACAUGUUAAAAUUUUUGGUCAAUACUGGAGCCACAUUCUCGGUGCUGAAUACCAAAAAGAGAAACCUUUCAAAAAGUUAAAGAUGUAGCCUCAAAGGUGUAUCAGGCAAAGGGGAGACCAAAAGUUUUCUGGAGCCCCUUGACCUAUGAAACAGGAUAAAAAGUACUUAAGCGUUUCUUUCUGUAUGUACCAGAAUGCCUUGUUCCCCCUCUAGGGAGGGACAGGCUAUCUAAGCUAGGGGCCUCAAUAAGCUGGGGAAAAGAUAAAGUAGAGAUCCAAGAUCCCAAAAAUUUGGGAAUUGGGCUUAUGGCCCUAUUACAGGAUACACCAGCACCUGAGAAGGAAGAGAUUCCACUAAAUAUUUUAAGUUAAGCUAACUCAGAAUUAUAGGCACAAGGACAGGUGGAGUGAGCAGCCAGUGCCAUGUCAGUAAAGGUAAAACUGAAGCAGGCAGUUUGCUGGCCCCGGGUAAGACAAUACCCCCCCGAAGCCAGAAGCCAUAAAGAUGAAUCUUUCUUGUAAUCAAUACGUUUUUAGAACUGGGGAAUGUAGGUUUGUUCAAGACCGUAGUGCUGUCAAUGCUGUACAGUACUGGAUUUAUAAUAGUAAAUAUCCUUUUUGUUUCUGGCACAGAGAUCCAAAAACUCUUGUAAUUUCCCACAUAAGAGCCAUAGAGUCAUAUUUUGUUAUAAUAAUUACUUUAGUCCUCAGUUCCUGAAAUUACUCCAGAGCAAUAAAGGGGAAAGAGCUGUCUUUUGUUAUUCCUAACAAGACCCUUUCAACCACAUUGAAUUUAUGUUAAUAAGGUGACAUUUGGAAAGCCCCUAAGGGUGGAGGCUGGUGUGUGGGAAAAUAGGGAAAGCUAUUUUGUGAUUCAGGGUUGGGAUUUUCAGCCCCAUCCCCCUCUCCAUAGGUCCAGGAUGAGGAGAGGGCUGAAGAUUGAGUUCGAUUGUCAAAGGCCAAUGACGUAAUCAACUGUGCCUAUGUAGGGGGGUCUCCAUUAAUAUCCAAAGGGAUGGGCUUCAGAGAGCUUCUGGGUUGGUAAACACCCAGGGAGAUUUGGGGAGAGUGGCAUGCCCAGAGAGGGUCUGGGAGCUCCAUGUCCUUGCCCCACGUAUUUUAC